Molecule: long non-coding RNA, 242 nt
Filed under: Elaeis guineensis (African oil palm)
Lineage: Eukaryota; Viridiplantae; Streptophyta; Magnoliopsida; Arecales; Arecaceae
Description: long non-coding RNA (EGUI_LNC034764)
Source: RNAcentral
GGGUGGAAAUGGCAGCAUCCAGGCCGGGUGUGGUGAACUGGCAGCCAUGGUGGUGGAUGGAGAUCAGGGUUGUGAAGGUCGUGGAAGGAGGAUAGCCAUCCAGUAUGAAGCUUAGAGCUAGUGGAAAGGUAGUUUUUUUUUAAAUGCUAAGAGAAAGAUCAUGGCCCUACCCAUUUUAUCCAGAUCGUGAUUUGCGAUUACUUCAUGGAUCAAAUAUUAGUGGGUAGAAGCAUAGGAUGGAG